AAAUAAACUUAAACUCUUCUUCAACUAAAUCUUCUUGCAGCAUCAUCAAAACAAAAGUCUUCAAGAUUUCCCAAUACUCCUUAUUGGUAACAAUCUCCCCCUUUUUGAUGAUGAUCAAAAAUACUGUUUUAAAAGCAACUUUGGCUGUCCUGCAAAAACAUACAAUCUAACAAACAACAAUAGAGUUAAGCAAUACCUGUAUUUUAUGCUUCUUCCCUUAAAUUAUGUUACUCCCCCUUUUUGAUCAUAAACAAAAAGAUUAACGUAAAGAGCUCCCCCUAAAUAUGAUCUCCCCC
This 296-nucleotide long non-coding RNA is filed under the name Vigna radiata. RNAcentral's name for it is "long non-coding RNA (VRAD_LNC006135)". The record is from RNAcentral. Lineage: Eukaryota; Viridiplantae; Streptophyta; Magnoliopsida; Fabales; Fabaceae.